UUUGAUAGUUAUGCAUUCUUCAUCAGAAACUCAAUAUCUGGCCCAUACGAACUAUUCAUCUUCCUGUUUUCUUCGAGAUGUAGCAUAAUCCUCCUCCACCACUGUCAACCAUCAAAGCUCUUCAUAUCUUCGUCUGUCUUCAUAUCUUUAACUCCCCUAUGGCACCCAAACGCUUCGCAUCCACCAAACUCUUCGUAUAUAUACAACCAACCCAUUCUGUGGAUAAGAGAGUUGAAGAAAAAAGAAUCUUACUACUUUAUUCUAAUCUCUCCAUGCUCUGCUUUCCACAAAAAUUGUUUAAGCGAUAUUGAAGUGUAUUGGUCUUGAUUGGUUAAGUUUCAGGUCUCGGAGGCGGCUGCAUCAGAUAGAAAUAUAAUUAAUGUGGAUGUGCUCUGAUUCUAGAAUUGCAGUAGAGAAGAAGAAAGUCACCGGAGAUCCAGGAAAAUUGGAACGUUUCGUUAUUGCGGAAAAGCUUCGUCGGAGAUGUAAACUUGGAUUCAUCAUGUCUCGAAUUGAAGCGUUGAAGGCUUUUGUUAGAUUUCAAGAUUAAUAAAUUUGUAAAGUUCCAGAUGACAAUGAUACAUUUUGUUAAAAUGUUUAUGGUCGCGUAAACUGAACUGAAAUCUUUAUGGUAUGAAGCGUUCCUGUUCAAACAACUAAGCUAAUUACAUUAUCAUCGACUGAAGACAUGCAGAGAGGGAGAGAACAAUAAAGAAAGACGGGCAAGGAGGAGACAUAACGAGUUGGAAGAAAAAUUGGGGAAAAGUUGAUGAUGCUGCCCGCUUCAUUCUUUAAUGUAAAGGCACAUGGUGGCACUGUGGGCCUCCCUACUGAGUCCACGUACGAUUUCAAGUUCUGAGGAUGGGCUGCCAUGUAUCGUGCUUGUGGGAGGAGCAGCCGGCACGUUUUACUCAUACAGCCUUCUCUCCCUACGUUUUAUUCACAGUGGAAAGCACAUGGAAACCGAUGUCUUGGAAUGAUCCCCUUUCCGGGCAUACCGGUUCAAUAGUUCUUUUAUAAUUUUUUUGGUAUUCCAUCCCCUAUUUUUAUGCGAGCUCUAUCUUUCUUCUUCUGUGUGAUGGGGCUAUGGCUUUUUAAAGUAACGUGACUUACAUGCAUGUUGUCUACAAAAAGAGAGUCGAAAAAAGCCUUACAAGAGGAACCAGCUGUAGAAGAUGAUAACAAGGAAAUAGCAAACAUGGAAGAGGUUGAUAAUGGAAACUCAAUUAUCGAGGGUCUAGAUGGAAACUCAGCUCAAAGUCUUUGUUAUAAUACUGUUAUUCAUUUGCAUCUUUUAAUUUUCUUCUGAUGCGAGUUAUGAAUUUAGAUGUGUUUCUUUGUAACUGAACAUGCUGUGGAGAGAAUUAAUUAGCGAUUUAGAGGA
This is a long non-coding RNA of Raphanus sativus (radish), 1384 nucleotides long. RefSeq lists it as uncharacterized. The record is from RefSeq and is a predicted model, not a curated record. The transcript has 2 exons. NCBI's taxonomy places the organism in Eukaryota, Viridiplantae, Streptophyta, Magnoliopsida, Brassicales, Brassicaceae.